AUGGUUAGACGUUUCUUGCGUGUUUCAUUCAAGGUUAAGUUGCUAUUCGAGGAGAACAGAGCUCUUGACGAAGCCAACAAGAGGCUGCUGUGCUUGCUGGAGAAGGAGCAGAAACAUCGGUCUGAAACAAAGCAGCACUCUGCCACUAAUCCCACCAAGCAGAAGUGCAAGUCGUCGAGCCCCGUCGGGCUGGCCAUCGAUUUCAACAGUGCGGAUGCGUCGAGGCAGCCCUUGCAGCCAAACUCUCCAGACUGCAGGGUGCAGAAGAAGUGA
Molecule: ribosomal RNA, 273 nt
Filed under: Triticum aestivum (bread wheat)
Lineage: Eukaryota; Viridiplantae; Streptophyta; Magnoliopsida; Poales; Poaceae
Description: partial small subunit ribosomal RNA
Source: RNAcentral